Molecule: unclassified non-coding RNA, 340 nt
Filed under: Hevea brasiliensis (rubber tree)
Lineage: Eukaryota; Viridiplantae; Streptophyta; Magnoliopsida; Malpighiales; Euphorbiaceae
Source: RNAcentral
GUUUGAUUAAGCAGAUUGACAAAAGAUAUUGGGUAGGCUGGUGUAUUCAAAUUAUGUGGUGUAAAGCUGGACAGUGCAUUGUAAGCUACCAAUGAGAUGAGGAAAAGAGAUAUAAAUUGAACAAGUGUAAACUUAGAUCAAUGGUUCCAAGGUUCAAUAAUAUAUAGUUACAACUUUCAUGUAUUAUUGUACUUGCUACGCCGAAGUGAAUCCUCUCUCCAGCAACACCGAAACAUAAUCAGAGAAGUUAUUGGUUCUUACUGUUGAGAUCUUGAGAAUGAGCAACACCGAAACAUAAUCAGAGAAGUUAUUGGUUCUUACUGUUGAGAUCUUGAGAAUG